CUUUCCCCAAAUCCCGAGAAGUUGCAGGCGGUCCCGCUCCGGGCGCCGUUCUCACGCAUGAGUCCUUCUGAAGAAAAGUUACAGAAAUAGAGGCCGCAGAUUUAAAUCAACGACCUAGAUGAAUCUGUUAUGGAAAUCGUUGAACAAGGGUUGCGGUGAGCCGGAGCAUACCUGGCAGCACAGGGCCGAGGGGCGAGGGGACACACUCAGGACGGGAUGCUGGUCCGUUGCAGGGCACCCCAAGCAGGGCUUGAGUCCCAGACCCAUCACACAGUGAGCAUUGGCUGAACCUGUCAUACUGCCACCCCCCCCCGAACCCCCCCGGCAUUUUAAAUCAUUUUUAAGUUUUAUUCUUUGGAAUAUUUCUGCAAAGAUUGUGAAAUAAUAUCCCCCCCCCAA
This 399-nucleotide long non-coding RNA is filed under the name Scleropages formosus (Asian bonytongue). RNAcentral's name for it is "lncRNA (ENSSFOG00015029504.1)". The record is from RNAcentral. Lineage: Eukaryota; Metazoa; Chordata; Actinopteri; Osteoglossiformes; Osteoglossidae.